GCCUGGCUGGCUCAGUUGGUAGAGCAUGUGACUCUUGAUCUCGGGAUCAUGAGCUCAAUCCCCAUGUUGGGUG
Transfer RNA from Felis catus (domestic cat), 73 nucleotides. It matches the Rfam family "tRNA". Rfam says of the family: Transfer RNA (tRNA) molecules are approximately 80 nucleotides in length. Their secondary structure includes four short double-helical elements and three loops (D, anti-codon, and T loops). The record is from Rfam. NCBI's taxonomy places the organism in Eukaryota, Metazoa, Chordata, Mammalia, Carnivora, Felidae.